Molecule: non-coding RNA, 74 nt
Organism: Anoplopoma fimbria (sablefish)
Lineage: Eukaryota; Metazoa; Chordata; Actinopteri; Perciformes; Anoplopomatidae
Source: the annotation of a RefSeq genome assembly
GCAUUGGUGGUAUAGUGGUAAGCAUAGUUGCUUUUUGUUAGCAGUUGACCUGGGUUCGAUUCCCAGCCAAUGCA